Molecule: small RNA, 1065 nt
Filed under: Pan troglodytes (chimpanzee)
Lineage: Eukaryota; Metazoa; Chordata; Mammalia; Primates; Hominidae
Description: retained intron
Source: RNAcentral
GAAUUGCGCUUCCGCCAUCUUUCCAGCCUCAGUCGGACGGGCGCGGAGACGCUUCUGGAAGCUUGUAUUGGUUGGUGAUGGUGGUACUGGAAAAACGACCUUCGUGAAACGUCAUUUGACUGGUGAAUUUGAGAAGAAGUAUGUAGGUAUGUGCUGGAAAACCUUGCUUGUGGAAAUAUGUGAGAAAUGGGUAAGUUCAUCCACUCAAUCGCAUCGUUUCCGUUUCAGCCACCUUGGGUGUUGAGGUUCAUCCCCUAGUGUUCCACACCAACAGAGGACCUAUUAAGUUCAAUGUAUGGGACACAGCCGGCCAGGAGAAAUUCGGUGGACUGAGAGAUGGCUAUUAUAUCCAAGGUAGGCAUUUGUAACUUGCUGAACAGUUUUUGAGAGGUUUUGUGUACUUCACUCUUCAAGGUUAUAGAAAAUCAGGUCUGUUCCAACAAAUAGGGUCAUUUUUGGGUUAAAAAAAGACAAGUGGACUUCAGGGAGUUGACCACCAUUUUGGUGGCAGAGAAAAUUUUAUUAAAGUUGUGUCAUUUGCAUGCUGUGUCAUGCUAGGCAUGGUUUAGAAAAAACUGUGACUUACACUGGGACUUAUAAGUCAUAUUUAAAACAACAAUAGGCUGUUAACAGCAGUUUCAGUAUUUGGAAACUUAGGUUCAUGUAUGUAUUUUGGUGUGGUGAUCAGUGAAUGUUUUUACUGUAUUAGAAAACAAUAAACACCAGAUACUAGACCAGAGGAGAUAGGAGAUCUUAACAAGUGUUAUACAAGACUAGCUGAUUUCUUGUUAAAUUGUUUGUACUAAGUUGUGCAGAGUAUUUUUCUCAAAUAGUUUGAUUUAAAAAUUGCAAAGAAAAUGUUCAUUGUACCAAAAAGAGGAAUCAAAAAAAUACUCAUCUCUCUUGGAACCUCAUGUUGCCGAUAACACAUUAUCUGGAAUCAUUCCAUGCCUUUUGCUUUCCUUGAGCAUGUACAAAUAAACACAAGAAUUUACCCCAAAAGAAUCCUUUAAUCAAAAAGUUGUGGUUUUUUGCCUUGCUAACUGUACCAUAGUUAUUCCUGCA